GCCCUAGUAGCUUAAAUCUAAAGCGCUGGUCUUGUAAGCCAGAAAUGAAACACACUCUCCUAGGACA
RNAcentral lists this transfer RNA (67 nucleotides) under Lacerta bilineata. RNAcentral's name for it is "transfer RNA-Thr". It matches the Rfam family "tRNA". Rfam says of the family: Transfer RNA (tRNA) molecules are approximately 80 nucleotides in length. Their secondary structure includes four short double-helical elements and three loops (D, anti-codon, and T loops). The record is from RNAcentral. Lineage: Eukaryota; Metazoa; Chordata; Lepidosauria; Squamata; Lacertidae.